UUUAGUUUCGGCCUAAUAAAACCAGUAAUGGAAAAUUCAACUAUUUUUUUGAUGAUAGAUAUAUAUUAAUUUCAAAAAAUUUAUAUGGAAAUUAUAAAGUAGUAUAUCCAGUAAAAAGUUUUUAAAAAAGUUUUUAAUUGUUUAAGUUUUUUAGAGGAAAAUAAAGUGCCAGCAUCCGCGGUUAUACUUUUUCUGUUUAAUAUUAAGAAUUGAAAUAUUUAUUGCAAUAUAAAAAACACAGUUUAAAGUAUAUUUUUGUAGAUAAAGAAGGGUUAAGGAAUUAAAUUUGAUACUUAAGUACUACCUUUGUUAGUUUGGGAAUAACUUAAAUUUUUUGGCGGUAAAAAAGAAGUUUAGGGGAGCGUGUUGAGUAAAUGAUGAUCCACACAGAAAUUCACCUUUAUUUUGUUAGUGUAUGGCCGUAAAUAUAAGAAUUUUAGAUUUUUGUUUUAAAAUAUAAAAAACAGGUCUUUAUGCAGUUUGUAAAGGUUUUAAUUCGCUACUUUAAUAUAUUUUUAUAUAAUGUAAUUAUAAAUGGUAUAGGACUUAAAAUUAAAUUUUUUUUGGAAAAUUGAAAUAUUAAUUUUUUAUGCACAUAUCGCCCGUCAGUCUGUUUUACAGAAAAGUC
This 628-nucleotide ribosomal RNA is filed under the name Microstomum lineare. RNAcentral describes it as "small subunit ribosomal RNA". The record is from RNAcentral. Lineage: Eukaryota; Metazoa; Platyhelminthes; Dolichomicrostomida; Microstomidae.